UUGGCAAGAACAAUAGCAGGGCAAAGAAAGAAAGCUAGCUAACUACUUUAGUUUUCUUUAUGGUGCUUAUGAAGAACAGCGUGCAGGCUAUGUGCUUGGUGGCUCUUGUUAUCAUGUCUACCGCUUUAUUGCCCACUCAUGUAGAAGGAAGAAUCAUGGAUACGAAGGAGAGGAGCCUCACAUCGUGCUUUCUUUGGAAACGCUGCACAAUCGAUCUAUGCCGGCAAAAUUGUUCAGCACGUGGAUAUGCUAAGAGUGAAAGCACCUGUGAUUCAUACAAAGAUAAUAAAUACUGCUGCUGCGCGACGGAUUGAAGGAUACAGCUGUGAUGGAUACUACACAUCAUAUCGUCCUACAUCUAAGUAUUUCUUGCAAAUAGCAAAUAAUGACUACCGAUGGAAUUGAUGUAGCAGAUUCAAUAAACUUUAAAUUUUACUAGUAACUGGUUAAUGUA
Molecule: long non-coding RNA, 454 nt
Organism: Triticum aestivum (bread wheat)
Lineage: Eukaryota; Viridiplantae; Streptophyta; Magnoliopsida; Poales; Poaceae
Exons: 2
Source: RefSeq, a predicted model, not a curated record